RNAcentral lists this ribosomal RNA (253 nucleotides) under uncultured bacterium. RNAcentral describes it as "partial 16S ribosomal RNA". It matches the Rfam family "Bacterial small subunit ribosomal RNA", at positions 524 to 776 of the family's 1533-position model. The record is from RNAcentral.
UACGUAGGGCGCAAGCGUUGUCCGGAAUUAUUGGGCGUAAAGAGCUCGUAGGCGGUCUGUCGCGUCGGCUGUGAAAACCCGAGGCUCAACCUCGGGCCUGCAGUCGAUACGGGCAGACUAGAGUACUGCAGGGGAGACUGGAAUUCCUGGUGUAGCGGUGAAAUGCGCAGAUAUCAGGAGGAACACCGGUGGCGAAGGCGGGUCUCUGGGCAGUAACUGACGCUGAGGAGCGAAAGCGUGGGGAGCGAACAGG